Pelobates cultripes (western spadefoot toad) is the source of this 211-nucleotide non-coding RNA. The record is from the annotation of a GenBank genome assembly. Lineage: Eukaryota; Metazoa; Chordata; Amphibia; Anura; Pelobatidae.
UGCACUCGCAAGAACAAACAGGCCGAUUAAUGACAGUUUCUAUGGCUGUCUACCAGCAGUUAACUGUCAUAUUUUGAAGCGUUAAAACUUCUUGUAAUUAGUGGCUCUCAUAUGUUUUAGUGUCUCUGUUGGCAAUUAAUAGGAGACGCUAAAUGCCAAGUCAAAAUUAGAUGGGAAAAUGAUUACACCCUUGUAAUUUGCUCAACUUUAC